AUCAAAAUCUUUUUUCAACCUUCACCAACAAAAUUAGUCAAUUGUUUUUUAUUUUGAUACGAGUUGAAUUUGCAGAAAGCCUUAGUUGUAAUUAUAUUUCUUAAAUAACAAUAUUAAUACAAUUUUAUUAAAAAAUCCCAUUCAAAAGUUUUUAUGAAAUAGACAAAGGACACGUCAUCGUUUCAUGGUCGGUGGCUCAGUGCGAUGCAGUGGGAGUAAUAAUUAAACUUGACUCUGUCACUCUGCAAAAUUUUUACCACACGUGCAUAACACGUGUUGCUGAUUUGAUGAGUUACUAGAUUUUGAAUAUUUACAGCGGGAAAAGAACUAAAAAGUUCAAAAAAUUCCGCAAGUGAAACUGUGAAAGUGUUAAAAUCAAUAUUUUUACUUUGGUAAGUCAAAGAUACGCGUUCACUUGGAGCGUGGUUCACACGGCACCGAAGGAGACAAGAAGUCAAAUAUUGGUACUUUUUGUGGGGACCACCUAACAUGUCUCCUUAUCUGAAAAUCCACGUUGAUUUGAAGCUCAAGUUCAUUUAUAUCGUUACCUAAUAAUUUAAUUGUUUUUAUAUUUUAAUUUAUGUAUUUUUAAAAAAAAAUUAGAAAAUAUUUGAAUAAAUAAUGUUUUAUUCCUAAAUGUUGCUAAUGCUUUUUGUUCUUUUUGAAAAUUUUGGAGUAUAU
RNAcentral lists this long non-coding RNA (681 nucleotides) under Citrus x clementina. Its description in RNAcentral is "Citrus clementina (C. clementina) long non-coding RNA (CCLE_LNC002382)". Lineage: Eukaryota; Viridiplantae; Streptophyta; Magnoliopsida; Sapindales; Rutaceae. The record is from RNAcentral.